AUUGAACGCUGGCGGCAUGCCUUACACAUGCAAGUCGAACGGCAGCACGGGAGCAAUCCUGGUGGCGAGUGGCGAACGGGUGAGUAAUAUAUCGGAACGUGCCCGGUCGUGGGGGAUAACGUAGCGAAAGCUACGCUAAUACCGCAUACGAUCUACGGAUGAAAGCGGGGGAUCGCAAGACCUCGCGCGAUUGGAGCGGCCGAUAUCAGAUUAGGUAGUUGGUGAGGUAAAGGCUCACCAAGCCGACGAUCUGUAGCUGGUCUGAGAGGACGACCAGCCACACUGGGACUGAAACACGGCCCAGACUCCUACGGGAGGCAGCAGUGGGGAAUUUUGGACAAUGGGCGCAAGCCUGAUCCAGCAAUGCCGCGUGCAGGAUGAAGG
RNAcentral lists this ribosomal RNA (384 nucleotides) under uncultured bacterium. Its description in RNAcentral is "bacterial SSU rRNA". It matches the Rfam family "Bacterial small subunit ribosomal RNA", at positions 29 to 414 of the family's 1533-position model. The record is from RNAcentral.